AACGAACGCUGGCGGCAGGCCUAACACAUGCAAGUCGAGCGCACCCUUCGGGGUGUGCGGCGGACGUGCGAGUAACGCGUGGGAACGUUCGCCUUUCUAUGGAAUAGCCCCGGGAAACUGAGAGUAACACCGUAUACGCACCUUGGGGGGAAGAUUUAUCGGAAAAGGAUCUGCCCGCGUUGGAUUUGGUAGUUGGUGAUGUAAUGGCCUACCAAGCCGACGAUCCAUAGCUGGUUUGAGAGGGUGCUUAGCCAAACUAGUAAUGAUACACGGCCCAGACGCCGCGUGGAAGGAGGAGUAGGGAAUCAUAGACCAUGGGGCCAACGCUAAGCUCGCCAUGACGCGUGAGUGAUGAAGUGUUUAGGGUUGUAAAGCUCUUUCAGCUGGGAAAAUAAUGACGGUACCAGCAGAAGAAGCCCCGGCUAACUACGUG
This 433-nucleotide ribosomal RNA is filed under the name uncultured bacterium. RNAcentral's name for it is "partial 16S ribosomal RNA". It matches the Rfam family "Bacterial small subunit ribosomal RNA", at positions 29 to 507 of the family's 1533-position model. The record is from RNAcentral.